GAGUUUGAUCCUGGCUCAGAACGAGCGCUGGCGGCGUGCUUAACACAUGCAAGUCGCGUGCGCAGUCUGUAGCAAUACAGGCAGGCGCACGGCGCACGGGUGCGUAACACGUGGGCAAUCUGCCCUCUGAUGGGGAAUAACCCGCCGAAAGGCGGGCUAAUACCGCAUAAGAUUCCCCGGACUUCGGUCUGGGAUUGAAAGCCCGCCGCAAGGCGGGCGUCGGAGGAGGAGCCCGCGCCCGAUUAGCUAGUUGGUGAGGUAAUGGCUCACCAAGGCAAUGAUCGGUAGCUGGUCUGAGAGGAUGAUCAGCCACACUGGAACUGAGACACGGUCCAGACUCCUACGGGAGGCAGCAGUGGGGAAUCUUGCACAAUGGGCGAAAGCCUGAUGCAGCGACGCCGCGUGGGGGAUGAAGCAUUUCGGUGUGUAAACCCCUUUCGACCGGGAAGAAAGCCUCGCAAGAGGACUGACGGUACCGGUAUAAGAAGCCCCGGCUAACUACGUGCCAGCAGCCGCGGUAAGACGUAGGGGGCCAGCGUUGUUCGGAAUUACUGGGUGUAAAGGGUUCGUAGGCGGUGCGGCAAGUUGGGAGUGAAAUCUCUGGGCUUAACCCAGAGGCUGCUUCCAAAACUGCUGUGCUCGAGUGUGAGAGAGGCGCGUGGAAUUGCAGGUGUAGCGGUGAAAUGCGUAGAUAUCUGCAGGAACACCCGUGGCGAAAGCGGCGCGCUGGAUCACUACUGACGCUGAGGAACGAAAGCUAGGGGAGCAAACAGGAUUAGAUACCCUGGUAGUCCUAGCCCUAAACGAUCAGGACUUGGGGUGGCACCCGUUCGGGUGUCGUCCCGGAGCUAACGCGUUAAGUCCUGCACCUGGGGAGUACGGUCGCAAGAUUAAAACUCAAAGGAAUUGACGGGGACCCGCACAAGCGGUGGAUGAUGUGGAUUAAUUCGAUGCAACGCGAAAAACCUUACCUACCCUUGACAUGGAUGGAAUCCCGGAGAGAUUUGGGAGUGCCCGAAAGGGAACCAUUACACAGGUGCUGCAUGGCUGUCGUCAGCUCGUGUCGUGAGAUGUUGGGUUAAGUCCCGCAACGAGCGCAACCCUUGUCAUUAGUUGCUACGAAAGAGCACUCUAAUGAGACUGCCGGUGACAAACCGGAGGAAGGUGGGGAUGACGUCAAGUCCUCAUGGCCCUUAUGGGUAGGGCUUCACACGUCAUACAAUGGUACAUACAGAGGGCCGCCAACCCGCGAGGGGGAGCUAAUCCCAGAAAGUGUAUCGUAGUCCGGAUUGUAGUCUGCAACUCGACUACAUGAAGUUGGAAUCGCUAGUAAUCGCGGAUCAGCAUGUCGCGGUGAAUACGUUCCCGGGUCUUGUACACACCGCCCGUCACACCAUGGGAGCGGGUUUUACCAGAAGUAGGUAGCUUAACCGCAAGGAGGGCGCUUACCACGGUAGGAUUCGUGACUGGGGUGAAGUCGUAACAAGGUACCCGUA
Molecule: ribosomal RNA, 1496 nt
Filed under: uncultured eubacterium WD264
Lineage: Bacteria
Description: bacterial SSU rRNA
Rfam family: Bacterial small subunit ribosomal RNA
Source: RNAcentral